This 482-nucleotide ribosomal RNA is filed under the name uncultured bacterium. RNAcentral's name for it is "partial 16S ribosomal RNA". It matches the Rfam family "Bacterial small subunit ribosomal RNA", at positions 30 to 507 of the family's 1533-position model. The record is from RNAcentral.
AUUGAACGCUGGCGGCAUGCUUUACACAUGCAAGUCGAACGGUAACAGGCCGCAAGGUGCUGACGAGUGGCGAACGGGUGAGUAAUGCAUCGGAACGUGCCCAGUCGUGGGGGAUAACUACUCGAAAGAGUAGCUAAUACCGCAUACGAUCUAUGGAUGAAAGCGGGGGACCGUAGGGCCUCGCGCGAUUGGAGCGGCCGAUGUCAGAUUAGGUAGUUGGUGGGGUAAAGGCUCACCAAGCCAACGAUCUGUAGCUGGGCUGAGAGGACAACCAGCCACACUGGGACUGAGACACGGCCCAGACUCCUACGGGAGGCAGCAGUGGGGAAUUUUGGACAAUGGGCGCAAGCCUGAUCCAGCAAUGCCGCGUGCAGGAAGAAGGCCUUCGGGUUGUAAACUGCUUUUGUACGGAACGAAACGGCUCUGGUUAAUACCCGGGGCUAAUGACGGUACCGUAAGAAUAAGCACCGGCUAACUACGUG